This 301-nucleotide ribosomal RNA is filed under the name uncultured bacterium. RNAcentral's name for it is "partial 16S ribosomal RNA". It matches the Rfam family "Bacterial small subunit ribosomal RNA", at positions 509 to 807 of the family's 1533-position model. The record is from RNAcentral.
CAGCCGCCGCGGUAAUACAGAGGGUGCAAGCGUUAAUCGGAAUUACUGGGCGUAAAGCGCACGUAGGCGGACAUUUAAGUCAGGGGUGAAAUCCCGGGGCUCAACCCCGGAACUGCCUUUGAUACUGGGUGUCUAGAGUAUGGAAGAGGUGAGUGGAAUUCCGAGUGUAGAGGUGAAAUUCGUAGAUAUUCGGAGGAACACCAGUGGCGAAGGCGGCUCACUGGUCCAUUACUGACGCUGAGGUGCGAAAGCGUGGGGAGCAAACAGGAUUAGAUACCCCAGUAGUCCCUGUCUCUUAUAC